UACGUAGUAUUACACAAAGCUAAAUUGUUUUAUCGUUUGCCCCUUUAUAAACAAAACAAGAACUUAAAGAUCAAAUUUUUAGAGAAUCUUCAAAUCAAAUUCUUUUUCCCUUUGCCAUAUUUUGGAAUUUAGGGCAGCCGAAAAUCAUCUCUGCCGCCCUCCACCUUCCCUCCGUCGGUGGCGCCGCCUACCGUCGUUGCUGGAAAAUUUCGAAUCAUCCCAAAAUUACACCUUUGCUUCACCUUACUCCCCUCUAAUAUGAUCUUUCACUUGACUCAUUCAAAACUCGGCCAAAUAUCAUAAAUCAGACCCACAAAGAUUAAAACCCUAAUCUCUUCAUCCUUUUUUAUUUCAGAUCUAACUAGAGGACAUAUAAACUCCAAACUGGUACUAUUCGAUAGAUCGUGAUGAGGUUUAUCGAUUGGUACUAGUUUUGACCCCCUUCAACGACCUCUGGUGUCGGUCAACUCGCUGUUGACCGGCUAGAAUCUUUGGAUUUCUUCCUUUCCUCUUCUUUUUUCAGCUUACAUCAGCUGUUGUGGCUUGUAGCACUGGAUGGAUUAUAAAAUCUAAACAAAUGCUUAUACUAGAAUGACCCCUGCUGGUCGGAAUCCUUCUUUUCUGAUGAGCCAGUUUGUAAAGGUAAUGCCCUUAAUUUUCUUCUUUAAUUGACAUGCAUGUCGUAUUCACGGUCUUUUGUUUGAAUGUUACUUAACAUGAAGAUUCCUUUAGGUUCAGUAGUUAGUUGAUUGUAUAUUUGAUUGAUUCUUAAGUCUGAAUACUAAAUUAACUAUUGUGUUCGGAGCCUUAAAUGGAAGUGACUAUACAUCCUUUAAGAUUAAAAAAAUGAUCACGAUUACAUAGUGAAUUCUGCCUAAAAAAUUCUUGUGGAACACGCCAUAUAUCAUACCACUUCCCAAACACUUCUCGAGAAUAAUUCUGAAAAUAGAAAAACUAUUUGUAUUGGUAAAAUUUGGCUUUGAUAUGUAAAUAGCUUACAUGGAAAUAUAAUGCUGCUUGGGAUAAGUGUCAUUCUGAGGAUAAAUGAAUAAUGAGAGCUUGCCCUCACGAGAAAUAACUUCGACCCGUUAGCUUCUUUCUAGGGAGAUGGGAGCAAUGCCUUGGUGAAGCACUCCUAAGACGACUUCAGAGAUCCAUUGAUGAAACUAUAGAUCAGAGUCUUGCUUGGUCUUCAAUCACUUCCUAACUAUACAGGAUUCACUCGUAUCCAAUAUGUCUGACAAUUAUCCCACAACCGACGAUUAUCUCGGCGAUCAACAACCACCUAGAACGACGUGGGAAGUGAAACUUGGGAUGUGAACAUCAGGUUUAGACUAUAAAUACUUAUAGUUCUCUCACCUAUGUCUCAUUUUGAUUCUGCUCUAUUUACCCAUUAUUAUAAGCUACUGCAUUUCGUUCUUGUCAAGUUGGCCAAUUGUUCUUUACUUUGCGAGCAGUGUAGCUCAUAAACAAUCUUAAUAAGAUUAUUAUUUCCUUUUCUUACUUUAAUCACGUUAUUAUUUUCAUUUAUUGUGUAUUUCGUCUAAUUAGACGAGUUAUUCAACUAAGCUCG
This 1573-nucleotide long non-coding RNA is filed under the name Nicotiana tabacum (common tobacco). RNAcentral's name for it is "long non-coding RNA (NTAB_LNC008829)". Lineage: Eukaryota; Viridiplantae; Streptophyta; Magnoliopsida; Solanales; Solanaceae. The record is from RNAcentral.